Molecule: transfer RNA, 72 nt
Filed under: Ovis aries (sheep)
Lineage: Eukaryota; Metazoa; Chordata; Mammalia; Artiodactyla; Bovidae
Also listed under: 1 other name
Rfam family: tRNA
About the family: Transfer RNA (tRNA) molecules are approximately 80 nucleotides in length. Their secondary structure includes four short double-helical elements and three loops (D, anti-codon, and T loops).
Source: Rfam by way of RNAcentral
UCCCUGGUGGCUCAGACAGUAGAGAAUCUGCCUGCAGUGCAGGAGAUCUGGGUUCCAUACCUGGUUUGGGAA